This 702-nucleotide ribosomal RNA is filed under the name Streptomyces sp. RNAcentral describes it as "bacterial SSU rRNA". It matches the Rfam family "Bacterial small subunit ribosomal RNA", at positions 62 to 779 of the family's 1533-position model. The record is from RNAcentral. Lineage: Bacteria; Bacillati; Actinomycetota; Actinomycetes; Kitasatosporales; Streptomycetaceae.
UCGAACGAUGAACCCGCUUCGGUGGGGGAUUAGUGGCGAACGGGUGAGUAACACGUGGGCAAUCUGCCCUGCACUCUGGGACAAGCCCUGGAAACGGGGUCUAAUACCGGAUAAUACUGCGGACCGCAUGGUCUGCGGUUGAAAGCUCCGGCGGUGCAGGAUGAGCCCGCGGCCUAUCAGCUUGUUGGUGGGGUGAUGGCCUACCAAGGCGACGACGGGUAGCCGGCCUGAGAGGGCGACCGGCCACACUGGGACUGAGACACGGCCCAGACUCCUACGGGAGGCAGCAGUGGGGAAUAUUGCACAAUGGGCGAAAGCCUGAUGCAGCGACGCCGCGUGAGGGAUGACGGCCUUCGGGUUGUAAACCUCUUUCAGCAGGGAAGAAGCGAAAGUGACGGUACCUGCAGAAGAAGCGCCGGCUAACUACGUGCCAGCAGCCGCGGUAAUACGUAGGGCGCAAGCGUUGUCCGGAAUUAUUGGGCGUAAAGAGCUCGUAGGCGGCUUGUCGCGUCGGAUGUGAAAGCCCGGGGCUUAACCCCGGGUCUGCAUUCGAUACGGGCAGGCUAGAGUGUGGUAGGGGAGAUCGGAAUUCCUGGUGUAGCGGUGAAAUGCGCAGAUAUCAGGAGGAACACCGGUGGCGAAGGCGGAUCUCUGGGCCAUUACUGACGCUGAGGAGCGAAAGCGUGGGGAGCGAACAGGAUU